Non-coding RNA from Paramormyrops kingsleyae, 82 nucleotides. The record is from RefSeq and is a predicted model, not a curated record. NCBI's taxonomy places the organism in Eukaryota, Metazoa, Chordata, Actinopteri, Osteoglossiformes, Mormyridae.
GAUCUCCCAUGAUGCCUUGCACUGGACUCUGAAUCUAUGUGGUGACGCAAGUGCCUCUGUCCUGACAAGGCCUGAGGAGAUU